AGUGAACGCUGGCGGUAGGCCUAACACAUGCAAGUCGAACGGCAGCACAGUAAGAGCUUGCUCUUACGGGUGGCGAGUGGCGGACGGGUGAGGAAUACAUCGGAAUCUACUUUUUCGUGGGGGCUAACGUAGGGAAACUUACGCUAAUACCGCAUACGACCUACGGGUGAAAGCAGGGGAUCUUCGGACCUUGCGCGAUUGAAUGAGCCGAUGUCGGAUUAGCUAGUUGGCGGGGUAAAGGCCCACCAAGGCGACGAUCCGUAGCUGGUCUGAGAGGAUGAUCAGCCACACUGGAACUGGGACACGGUCCAGACUCCUACGGGAGGCAGCAGUGGGGAAUAUUGGACAAUGGGCGCAAGCCUGAUCCAGCCAUACCGCGUGGGUGAAGAAGGCCUUCGGGUUGUAAAGCCCUUUUGUUGGGAAAGAAAAGCAGCAGGUUAAUACCCCGCUGUUCUGACGGUACCCAAAGAAUAAGCACCGGCUAACUUCGUG
Molecule: ribosomal RNA, 492 nt
Filed under: uncultured bacterium
Lineage: Bacteria
Description: partial 16S ribosomal RNA
Rfam family: Bacterial small subunit ribosomal RNA
Source: RNAcentral